AUGUCGUAACAAGGUUUCCGUAGGUGAACCUGCGGAAGGAUCAUUAUUGAAGAUACACCUGCGUGCGUCCUCGCUUCGGCAGGACACGCGCACAACUUCAUAUCCAUAACACCUGUGAACCGUAAGACGUGGUGACCCCCGGGUCCCCGUCUGCCCCCUUUAUCAAACAUCAGUAGUAACAAAAGUAGUCUUAUUAUAAUCUAAUAAAA
Molecule: unclassified non-coding RNA, 209 nt
Filed under: plant metagenome
Description: partial contains small subunit ribosomal RNA and internal transcribed spacer 1
Rfam family: Eukaryotic small subunit ribosomal RNA (bases 1-46)
Source: RNAcentral